Molecule: ribosomal RNA, 396 nt
Filed under: uncultured bacterium
Lineage: Bacteria
Description: partial 16S ribosomal RNA
Rfam family: Bacterial small subunit ribosomal RNA
Source: RNAcentral
AUACGUAGGUGGCAAGCGUUGUCCGGAUUUACUGGGUGUAAAGGGCGUGUAGGCGGAGAUGCAAGUCAGGAGUGAAAUCUAGGGGCUCAACCCCUAAACUGCUUUUGAAACUGUAUCCCUUGAGUAUCGGAGAGGCAGGCGGAAUUCCUUGUGUAGCGGUGAAAUGCGUAGAUAUUAGAAGGAACACCAGUGGCGAAGGCGGCCUGCUGGACGACAACUGACGCUGAGGCGCGAAAGCGUGGGGAGCAAACAGGAUUAGAUUCCCUGGUAGUCCACGCUGUAAACGAUGAAUACUAGGUGUGGGGGGACUGACCCCCUCCGUGCCGCAGUUAACACAAUAAGUAUUCCGCCUGGGGAGUACGAUCGCAAGAUUGAAACUCAAAUGAAUUGACGGGG